Molecule: ribosomal RNA, 473 nt
Filed under: Zygophiala sp. MYQ-QXBS-06
Lineage: Eukaryota; Fungi; Ascomycota; Dothideomycetes; Mycosphaerellales; Schizothyriaceae
Description: eukaryotic LSU rRNA
Rfam family: 5.8S ribosomal RNA (bases 161-314)
Source: RNAcentral
UCAUUACUGAGUGAAGGGCCCCUGGCCCGACCUCCAACCCCCUGUGAUUACAACCCCGUUGCUUCGGGGGCGCCCCCGCCGUCCGCGGCGCCGGGCCCCCCGGAGGUGACCACCAACUCUGCUGUCCUCUGCGUCGGAGUAUUGAUUUUCAAUCAGUUAAAACUUUCAACAACGGAUCUCUUGGUUCUGGCAUCGAUGAAGAACGCAGCGAAAUGCGAUAAGUAAUGUGAAUUGCAGAAUUCAGUGAAUCAUCGAAUCUUUGAACGCACAUUGCGCCCUCUGGUAUUCCGGGGGGCAUGCCCGUUCGAGCGUCAUUACACCACUCAAGCCUCGCUUGGUCUUGGGCGCCGCGGCCUGCCCGCGCGCCUCAAAGUCACCGGCCGGGUGACCCGUCUCGGAGCGUCGUAGCCAUCGUGUUUCGCUCGCGGGGAUCGGGUCGCCGUCGGCGCCGUUAAACGUCUCUCAUUAGGUGA